This is a non-coding RNA of Lagopus leucura (white-tailed ptarmigan), 84 nucleotides long. Lineage: Eukaryota; Metazoa; Chordata; Aves; Galliformes; Phasianidae. The record is from the annotation of a RefSeq genome assembly.
GUCUCUGUGGCGCAAUCGGUUAGCGCGUUCGGCUGUUAACCGAAAGGUUGGUGGUGGUUGGUGGUUCGAGCCCACCCAGGGACG